Bufo bufo (common toad) is the source of this 447-nucleotide long non-coding RNA. RefSeq lists it as uncharacterized. NCBI's taxonomy places the organism in Eukaryota, Metazoa, Chordata, Amphibia, Anura, Bufonidae. The transcript has 4 exons. The record is from RefSeq and is a predicted model, not a curated record.
CUGGUGCAGUGAUCUCCUCUGCAGUAUGGGGAGGAGUGAUCACUAGGCCAUCGCUCAUUCCCAUGCUGUCUAGUGGUUUGUCGACAGCAGAUCGUAAUUAGACCCCACGAUCUGCCCCCUGCAAAUGAUAUUUUAUUUUAACAUGUCAAAAGAUUUGGAUUGGCUGAUGAUCGAGCAGUUGGCAGUAGUAUUACACGGCCAGAUGAUCGCUAAUGAGCGUAAAUGCAAACACUUGUAGGAUAAUGCAUGCUUUCUCAGGGAGUCUCCUCACUCGGGGCCCUUCCACCCUUCCUUAUACAUGCACAGUGCACAGAUUCCAGGGGUAUAAUAAGAAAGCAGAAAAGCAAAAAUACAUUACAAAAUAGAGAGAAUCUGCAGUGUUUUACACCAUGUGCUAUUAACCCCUUCACCUCCACUAUAUUUUCUGGAUAUGAGCAUGGGUUGUGC